GAGCGAAUGGAUUAAGAGCUUGCUCUUAUGAAGUUAGCGGCGGACGGGUGAGUAACACGUGGGUAACCUGCCCAUAAGACUGGGAUAACUCCGGGAAACCGGGGCUAAUACCGGAUAACAUUUUGAACUGCAUGGUUCGAAAUUGAAAGGCGGCUUCGGCUGUCACUUAUGGAUGGACCCGCGUCGCAUUAGCUAGUUGGUGAGGUAACGGCUCACCAAGGCAACGAUGCGUAGCCGACCUGAGAGGGUGAUCGGCCACACUGGGACUGAGACACGGCCCAGACUCCUACGGGAGGCAGCAGUAGGGAAUCUUCCGCAAUGGACGAAAGUCUGACGGAGCAACGCCGCGUGAGUGAUGAAGGCUUUCGGGUCGUAAAACUCUGUUGUUAGGGAAGAACAAGUGCUAGUUGAAUAAGCUGGCACCUUGACGGUACCUAACCAGAAAGCCACGGCUAACUACGUGCCAGCAGCCGCGGUAAUACGUAGGUGGCAAGCGUUAUCCGGAAUUAUUGGGCGUAAAGCGCGCGCAGGUGGUUUCUUAAGUCUGAUGUGAAAGCCCACGGCUCAACCGUGGAGGGUCAUUGGAAACUGGGAGACUUGAGUGCAGAAGAGGAAAGUGGAAUUCCAUGUGUAGCGGUGAAAUGCGUAGAGAUAUGGAGGAACACCAGUGGCGAAGGCGACUUUCUGGUCUGUAACUGACACUGAGGCGCG
RNAcentral lists this ribosomal RNA (711 nucleotides) under Bacillus sp. Y312. RNAcentral describes it as "bacterial SSU rRNA". It matches the Rfam family "Bacterial small subunit ribosomal RNA", at positions 64 to 755 of the family's 1533-position model. Lineage: Bacteria; Bacillati; Bacillota; Bacilli; Caryophanales; Bacillaceae. The record is from RNAcentral.